CCCAGUGUGACUCGUCACACUAUCAUUAACUGAAUCCAUAGGUUAAUGAGGCGAACCGGGGGAACUGAAACAUCUAAGUACCCCGAGGAAAAGAAAUCAACCGAGAUUCCCCCAGUAGCGGCGAGCGAACGGGGAGGAGCCCAGAGCCUGAAUCAGCAUGUGUGUUAGUGGAAGCGUCUGGAAAGGCGCGCGAUACAGGGUGACAGCCCCGUACACAAAAGCGCAUGUGCUGUGAGCUCGAUGAGUAGGGCGGGACACGUGGUAUCCUGUCUGAAUAUGGGGGGACCAUCCUCCAAGGCUAAAUACUCCUGACUGACCGAUAGUGAACCAGUACCGUGAGGGAAAGGCGAAAAGAACCCCGGCGAGGGGAGUGAAAAAGAACCUGAAACCGUGUACGUACAAGCAGUGGGAGCACCCUUUGGG
This 423-nucleotide ribosomal RNA is filed under the name Salmonella enterica subsp. enterica serovar Enteritidis. RNAcentral's name for it is "partial 23S ribosomal RNA". It matches the Rfam family "Bacterial large subunit ribosomal RNA", at positions 127 to 590 of the family's 2925-position model. Lineage: Bacteria; Pseudomonadati; Pseudomonadota; Gammaproteobacteria; Enterobacterales; Enterobacteriaceae. The record is from RNAcentral.